This 442-nucleotide ribosomal RNA is filed under the name uncultured bacterium. RNAcentral's name for it is "partial 16S ribosomal RNA". It matches the Rfam family "Bacterial small subunit ribosomal RNA", at positions 338 to 795 of the family's 1533-position model. The record is from RNAcentral.
CCUACGGGUGACUGCAGUGGGGAAUAUUGGGCAAUGGACGCAAGUCUGACCCAGCAACGCCGCGUGAAGGAAGAAGGCUUUCGGGUUGUAAACUUCUUUUAAGGGGGACGAGCAGAAGACGGUACCCCUUGAAUAAACCACGGCUAACUACGUGCCAGCCGCCGCGGUAAUACGUAGGGGGCAAACGGUGUUCGGAUUUACUGGGGGUAAAGGGCGUGCAGCCGGGGAGACAAGUCAGAUGUGAAAUCCACGGGCUCAAACCGUGGACUGCAUUUGAAACUGUUUCCCUUGAGUGUCGGAGAGGGAAACGGAAUUCCGUGUGUAGCGGUGAAAUGCGUAGAUAUAAGGAAGAACAACAGUGGCGAAGGCGGUUUACUGGACGAUAACUGACGGUGAGGCGCGAAAGCGUGGGGAGCAAACAGGAUUAGAUACCCGAGUAGUC